GUGCUCGCUUUGGCAGCACAUAUACUAAAAUUGGAAUGAUACAGAGAAAAUUAGCAUGGCCCCUGUGCAAGGAUGACACGCAAAUUCGUGAAGCGAACGUUUGUCCU
Molecule: small nuclear RNA, 107 nt
Organism: Dromiciops gliroides (monito del monte)
Lineage: Eukaryota; Metazoa; Chordata; Mammalia; Microbiotheria; Microbiotheriidae
Source: RefSeq, a predicted model, not a curated record